Molecule: non-coding RNA, 775 nt
Filed under: Aneurus similis
Lineage: Eukaryota; Metazoa; Arthropoda; Insecta; Hemiptera; Aradidae
Description: 12S ribosomal RNA
Rfam family: Microsporidia small subunit ribosomal RNA (bases 382-768)
Source: RNAcentral
GGGGGCAGUAGAGUUCCAAAUGAUGAUUAUUGUUUCUGUAAAAGUUUGAUUCUUGCUUUUAAAAUUGCUUUAAAGUGAUGAUAUAUGCUAUAAUUUAAUUAAAAAUUAAGUUAGCAAUUUAGUGAAUUGUACAAUGAAUGUGAGUUUGAUGCAGUUAAUUUUUGUGAUCUAACUAAUUUUGUGCCAGCAGUUGCGGUUAUACAAUUAGAUCAAGUGAUUUUUUUUUGGAUUGCAUAUAGUCUAUUAUAUGUAAAAGUUUGUUUUAUUAUUAGGUGGAAUUUUAAUGUAAAAUUCAUUUACUGGUGAGUUUUAUGCGAAGGCUUUUUGUUAAACUAGGAUUAGAUACCCUAUUAUUUAAGCUGUAACUGUAUUGGUCCUUAUUAUUAAUAGUUGUCCUUUAAAAUAAAAGAAUUUGGCGGUAAUUUAAUCCUUUCAGAGGAACCUGUCCUUUAAUUGAUAGGCCACGAGGUAUUUUACUUUUACUUUACUUGUAUACCUCUAUGUAGAAUGUCUUAUUAGGGUAUUUUCUUUGAUCAAUUGAUUGAGAGAUUUUAGGUCAAGGUGCAGUUGUGUAGAAGGUGGUGAUGGGUUACAAUUUUUUUAUAAUUGGAUAAAUUCAUGUAAAUUGUUUUGAAAUAGGAUUUGUAAGUAAUUCUUAUUAUGUUCUGAGAGUGAAUUAGGCUCUAAUUUAUGUACACAUCGCCCGUCACUCCCAUCUUUAAGGUGGGAUAAGUCGUAACAAAGUAGGCCUACCGGAAGGUGGGCCUGGUAAGUU